CACGUAGGGCGCGAGCGUUGUCCGGAAUUAUUGGGCGUAAAGAGCUCGUAGGCGGUUCGUCGCGUCGGCUGUGAAAACCCGGAGCUCAACUCCGGGCCUGCAGUCGAUACGGGCGGACUCGAGUUCGGCAGGGGAGACUGGAAUUCCUGGUGUAGCGGUGAAAUGCGCAGAUAUCAGGAGGAACACCGGUGGCGAAGGCGGGUCUCUGGGCCGAUACUGACGCUGAGGAGCGAAAGCGUGGGGAGCGAACAGG
This 253-nucleotide ribosomal RNA is filed under the name uncultured bacterium. Its description in RNAcentral is "partial 16S ribosomal RNA". It matches the Rfam family "Bacterial small subunit ribosomal RNA", at positions 524 to 776 of the family's 1533-position model. The record is from RNAcentral.